UGCCAUUGCCCAUUGGAAUGUGGAUGAAGUUGUGUCUGAUCCAGCAACAAAUAGAACCUAUCAGCAAACAUAACCAUUAAAAUCUUAAGCAAAUUGAAAGCCUCAAGUGACUGAGACAGUAAGUAAUUUGCAUUUUUGAAUAUGCUGUACCACUUUCAGAUAUCUGUAUUUGUGUGUGCUUGGAAUUUAUUAAUGGGCAAAGCAUUGUUUAUACUUUAUACCAGAAGAAACAAAAAACAAAAAAUAUCAAACAGUUUGAAGAAGAUUAUGGCACUGACCAGUAACAGAUGAUAGAUCUCUUUUUUGUUGAUCACCUCACUGUUUUCCUCAGUAAUGUUGAGAAGGGUAUCUAACAAAUCAUCUUUUGUUGUAGAACCAGGCAAUUCUCUUAGCUUCAACCUUUGGUUGACUAUGUUGUCAAGCAGAUCCAAAAUCUUCCCAAAGUACCCUGUCAUCCUCUGCCUUCUGCCAUGGAGAUCAAUCUUCCUAAGCACAGGAAAAU
Molecule: long non-coding RNA, 502 nt
Filed under: Prunus persica (peach)
Lineage: Eukaryota; Viridiplantae; Streptophyta; Magnoliopsida; Rosales; Rosaceae
Description: long non-coding RNA (PPER_LNC005412)
Source: RNAcentral